RNAcentral lists this ribosomal RNA (441 nucleotides) under uncultured bacterium. RNAcentral's name for it is "partial 16S ribosomal RNA". It matches the Rfam family "Bacterial small subunit ribosomal RNA", at positions 338 to 795 of the family's 1533-position model. The record is from RNAcentral.
CCUACGGGAGGCAGCAGUGGGGAAUAUUGCACAAUGGGGGAAACCCUGAUGCAGCGACGCCGCGUGAGUGAAGAAGUCUUUCGGUAUGUAAAGCUCUAUCAGCAGGGAAGAAGAAAGACGGUACCUGACUAAGAAGCCCCGGCUAACUACGUGCCAGCAGCCGCGGGAAUACGUAGGGGGCCAGCGGUAUCCGGAUUUACUGGGUGUAAUGGGGGCGUAGACGGCUGUGCAAGUCUGAAGUGAAAGCCCAGGGCUCAACCCUGGGACUGCUUUGGAAACUGUGGAGCUAGAGUGCUGGAGAGGUAAGUGGAAUGCCUAGUGUAGCGGUGAAAUGCGUAGAUAUUAGGAGGAACACCAGUGGCGAAGGCGGCAUACUGGACAGUAACUGACGUUGAGGCACGAAAGCGUGGGGAGCAAACAGGAUUAGAUACCCCAGUAGUC